UAUAUAUAUAUAUAUAUAUUAUACAUAUAUAAUACAUAUAUAUUCGUGUAUACUGAAUUGCCUGUAACUGUAUCUCAAUGUUGGGGGCUUAGAGUCUCCCCACUGCAUCAUUUUGGAAACUAUAGAACAGGGGUCUUCAACGUUUUUCAGGCCAAGGAUCCCCAAACCGAUGGCGAGAUCAAAUAGGGAACCCUGUUCUACGGAGUUUGGUCCACCAUCUUUUAUUUUUGAGCUUUGCGCUCUUUAGACGUGAGCACAAACACGAUCUGAUUAUCUAGGGCCCGUGCGGUCGUAUUUGCAUGAAAGGAGCUGCGAAUGAACCGGUGCCAGGCCUGAGAGAGCUCCUGUAGCUGAAUGUGUGUAUUGCGGACUCUCAGUUUGCCACAAUAUCUUGGAUUCAUGUUAAUGUGUAUCUAAAAACAAUAAAUACAAUUCUGAUUCUGAAGACAUUUAAAUUUGUGGAGAAAAAAAUUGUAUUGUCUUCUUCAAAUAUUUCGCGACCCCCCCUGCAGUACCUCUGCGGAACCCCCGUUGAAGACCUCUGCUAUAGAAGAAUGGAAAGAAUGGACAGGGGGCUGAGAAAUUAAAUCAUGCCCACUUCCUUGCUAUAAAAGCUUUGGCGCAGUGUUGACCAUCACCACAGCUACAGACGCUCGGAAAAUAUUGAUAUAGUGUGCGGUGCUGAAUUUUAUGACCCUUCUAUUGAUUUCAGAAUGUAUGUACAUUCCUCUGGAAUUGGUGAGGCUGGACAAGGAGAAGCCUAUCACCUCUGUCUCUGCAGAGGCCAUCUUCUCUCCUCCCGGCCGUAGUCUCACAGCAGAGGCCAUCUCCUUUCCAUUCGGCUGUGGCCAUCUUCUCUCCUCCACCCUGUUGUCUCCUAUCAGCGGCCAUUUGCUGUGCUUCAUCUGUAGUCUACUUUUAGUGGCCAUCUUCUCUCCUCCUGGCUGUAGUCUCCUAGCAGCGGUCAUCUUCUUUCCUCCUGUCUGUAUUAUCCUAACAGCAGCAAUCUUUUCUACUCCCGUCUGUAGUAUCCUAGCAGCGGCCAUCUUCUCUCUUCCCAGCUUUUUUCGCUUAGCAGCGGCCAGGGACUUAGGGACAUAAGCUACUUACUUAUUUGAUUGAUUGACUUUAGCACUUCAAUACAUUAUAUCCCACAAAAAUGGGGUUACUAUAUAAACUACCCAUCGCAAGAAUCCCGGGUGGGCAGUGGUACAGCCUCUCUGGCCUGUGACCUUUUAUGAAUAGGGGAAGAUAUUAACCGACACUGCUGUCUGAAAAGGAAGCUUGGUUAGCACCAAGUAGAGCACUCAAGUAAGCUGAUACCUCGGUGUCUCCUCACUGCUUGAGUAAACACUGCAAAGGUCCCAGUGCAAAACUGCAACAGUGACUAAGAGGUCAUUCUUGACUAAAGGCUGAACCUCCCUCCCCUUUGUAGCCCUCCUCUCCCCUGUACUAUGUCACAAGGCCAAAUCGAUAUAUCUAACCCGCCUUUCUUUUGUGAAUGAACUUUCACCCCCAGCCUAACAAAGCAAAAAAGAUUUCUAAAAAAAGUGUUUUUAGUUUCAGUGCCUGCAAACAAAGCUGUCCUCCAAGUGCAACACCCACUUGAGGGUUUGUGUGUGGGGAUGUGUGCCCAGGUUCAGAUAGUGAGAUGGAUGGCCUCUUGGAGCAGGACUUCCCAUCAUAAAAGAGCCAAGGUGGAGAGAAAGGGACGUGAUUGUUUCUAGUUGGAACUGUGAGAACUGAGCUUUCAGCUCUCUCCCCGACACGUUGGCCCCUGAUUGGCAGCUUUAAUGACAGAAAGCAGUGCACAUGAAUUAGAGAUUUUUGACCAGGAAAACAAUACUGAAAAGUUAAUUUUAUUUCUCAAUGUACACUUUCUGUCAAGAUGCACCACAUCUUGACAGAAAUGCAGAACCUUUUGCAAAUGUAUUAAAAAAGAAAACCUGAAAUCUCACAUGGUAUUCAGACCAUUUGCUCAGUAAGAGUAGAAGAACCCUUUUGAGCUAGUCCAGCCAUGAGUCUUCUUGGGAAUGAUGAAACUAAGGAAACUGAAAGUUUUUCACAGCUGGAUUUGAAUUGAAUCCUCUACCAUUCUUCCUUGCAGAUCCUCUCCAGUUCGCUCGGGUUUGAUGAUGAACGUUGGACAGCCAUUUUCAGGUCUCUUCAGAGAUGAUUGGGUUUAGGUCAGGGCUCUGGUUGGGCCAGUCAAGAAUGGUCCCAGCUGUUGUUCCGAAGCCACUCCCUUGUUAUUUUAGCUGUAUGCUUAGGGUCAUUGUCUUGUUGGAAGGUGAACCGUCGGCCCAAUCUGAGGUCCGGAGCACUCUGGAUGAGGUUUUUUUCCAGGAUAUCUUACAUCUUUCCUUCAAUUGCAACCAGUCGUCCUGUCCGUGCAGCUGAAAAACAACCCCAUAGCAUGAUGCUACCACCAUGUUGGAAAAUAAUGACAUAGUAUGUGGUGCUGAAUUUUAUGACGAUUUUAUUGAUUUCAGAAUUUAUGUACAUUCCUUUGGAAUGGUCGAGGCUGGGGAAGGAGAAGCCUAUCACCUCUGUCUCUGCAGCGGUCAUCUUCUCUCCUCCCGGCUGAAGUCUCUUAGCAGAGGCCAUGUCUGGUAGAGGAGAAAGAGUUUAGAACCACUUUCCAUAAUGAUGUGCCAAAGAGGUUUACUUUUUGUCCGAUCUUGCAGGUGCAUUAUUAUUCCAACUUUUCAUGUCAAUAAAUCCUAAAAAGUGCACAUUGCAAAAUUGCAUUGUUUUUUGUUUUAAUUGUGCUUUUUAACAAAUAAUUUUAAUUACCAAUGUAUUGGCUACUAGGGGACACAUUAAAUUAAAUUCUAAGCCUAUACAGUUUUAAUAGUAUUGUUCUGUUGUUCGUACGGAGAAAAUUACAGUUAAAUGCUUGGCUUUACAAGGCGUUAUUUGAGAUAAUUUUUAAAGAAAAAACUAAAAACUCACAAACAUCAGUUGAUAUGAGACGGUGAGCUGCAGCAGAAGUUGACCUUUGCCAAUAAGAGCUAGGUAGCU
Molecule: long non-coding RNA, 3024 nt
Organism: Gasterosteus aculeatus aculeatus (three-spined stickleback)
Lineage: Eukaryota; Metazoa; Chordata; Actinopteri; Perciformes; Gasterosteidae
Source: Ensembl